CCUACGGGAGGCAGCAGUGAGGAAUAUUGGUCAAUGGACGAGAGCCUGAACCAGCCAAGUAGCGUGAAGGAUGACUGCCCUAUGGGUUGUAAACUUCUUUUAUAAAGGAAUAAAACGAGGCACGUGUGCCUUUUUGCAGGUACUUUAUGAAUAAGGCUCGGCUAACUCCGUGCCAGCAGCCGCGGUAAUACGGAGGAUCCGAGCGUUAUCCGGAUUUAUUGGGUUUAAAGGGAGCGUAGGUGGGUUGGUAAGUUAGUUGUGAAAGUUUGCGGCUCAACCGUAAAAUUGCAAUUGAUACUGGGAAUCUUGAGUGCAGUUGAGGUAGGCGGAAUUCGUGGUGUAGCGGUGAAAUGCUUAGAUAUCACGAAGAACCCCGAUUGCGAAGGCAGCUUACUAAACUGUGACUGACGUUGAGGCUCGAAAGUGUGGGUAUCAAACAGGAUUAGAUACCCUUGUAGUC
This 460-nucleotide ribosomal RNA is filed under the name uncultured bacterium. Its description in RNAcentral is "partial 16S ribosomal RNA". It matches the Rfam family "Bacterial small subunit ribosomal RNA", at positions 338 to 795 of the family's 1533-position model. The record is from RNAcentral.